CCCCGCCCCUCGCUCCCCCUCCUCUGUGGUUCCUGCCGAGCCGGCUGUGGCGCCAACCCGAGACCCCGAGCUGCGGCGUCAGGGGUGCUUCAUAUAGUUCUUCCUGGCACCUCCCGGGAUGUGACUCUGGGCCCCGUGGCCAUCAUGUCCCUCCUGGUCUCCUUCUACACCUUCCGUGACCCCCCCUGUGCUGUGCUGCUGGCCUUCCUGUGGGGCUGCAUGCAGUUGGCCAUGGGCUCCUGGGCUUGGGUGAGACUCUUUUCCUGCUGAGGUGGGGGCUGCGUUGCUGCUCUUCCUGGGGCCCUGAGGCACCUGCCUCCUGCGGCUGCCCC
This 332-nucleotide long non-coding RNA is filed under the name Equus asinus (donkey). Its description in RNAcentral is "lncRNA (ENSEASG00005032543.1)". The record is from RNAcentral. Lineage: Eukaryota; Metazoa; Chordata; Mammalia; Perissodactyla; Equidae.